GAUGAACGCUGGCGGCGUGCCUAAUACAUGCAAGUCGAGCGAACAGACGAGGAGCUUGCUCCUCGGACGUUAGCGGCGGAGGGGUGAGUAACACGUGGAUAACCUACCUAUAAGACUGGGAUAACUUCGGGAAACCGGAGCUAAUACCGGAUAAUAUAUUGAACCGCAUGGUUGAAUAGUGAAAGACGGUUUUUGUGUCAGUUAUAGAUGGAUCCGCGCCGCAUUAUCUAGUUGGUAAGGUAACGGCUUCCCAAGGAAACGAUGCGUAGCCGACCUGAGAGGGGGUAGGGCCCCACAGGGAGUGAGACGCGACCCAGACACUGACGGAAGGCAGAGAUAGGGAAUCUACGGAAAAGUGGGAAAGCCUGAAGGAGCGACGCGGCGUGGGUGAUGAAGCUCUGCGGAUCGUAAAACUCUGUUAUUAGGGAAAACCAAAUUUGUAAGUAACGAUGCGCGUCUGACGGUACCUAAUCAGAAAGCCACGGCUAACUACGUG
Molecule: ribosomal RNA, 496 nt
Filed under: uncultured bacterium
Lineage: Bacteria
Description: partial 16S ribosomal RNA
Rfam family: Bacterial small subunit ribosomal RNA
Source: RNAcentral